GGGACCCAGCUCAGUGGUAGAGAACUUGCCUAGCAUGCAUGAGGUCCUGGGUUCAAUCCCCAGUAUUG
This 68-nucleotide transfer RNA is filed under the name Marmota monax (woodchuck). RNAcentral's name for it is "tRNA.Ala". The stretch from base 8 to 63 matches the Rfam family "tRNA", at positions 9 to 63 of the family's 71-position model. From Rfam's summary of the family: Transfer RNA (tRNA) molecules are approximately 80 nucleotides in length. Their secondary structure includes four short double-helical elements and three loops (D, anti-codon, and T loops). The record is from RNAcentral. Lineage: Eukaryota; Metazoa; Chordata; Mammalia; Rodentia; Sciuridae.